Molecule: long non-coding RNA, 372 nt
Filed under: Mytilus galloprovincialis (Mediterranean mussel)
Lineage: Eukaryota; Metazoa; Mollusca; Bivalvia; Mytilida; Mytilidae
Source: RNAcentral
UGUAUUACAUGCUUGAUCAAAUGUCCCGUCAAUAUACUUUACGACAAUAAACAGUUUACAUACAGUUAGUCGUCGUAAUGCAAUACACGCAGGUAUAGUAAACUUCAAGCUAGUCCGGGGUCAUGUCAGGUCACAGUCCGGACUCACCUGUUCAAGAAUGUGUAUUACAUUGUUGAACGCCGCUUAAGUGUCGUUUAUUGAUUUUUCCGAUGACAAUCGAAUAACUAAAGAAAUAGAGAAAUGAAUAAAGGAAAAGUAAAAAGCAAAAAGGGGAAAACAAAAUCUUUCAAUUAAACAAAUAAUUUAGUAUAUUUAUAUACAAUCCGUAUACUCCUGGUCCGGGGUUAUAUCAGGUCACAGUCCGGACUCGCC